Long non-coding RNA from Planococcus citri (citrus mealybug), 1652 nucleotides. RefSeq lists it as uncharacterized. The record is from RefSeq and is a predicted model, not a curated record. Lineage: Eukaryota; Metazoa; Arthropoda; Insecta; Hemiptera; Pseudococcidae. The transcript is spliced from 3 exons.
CUACAUUUCAUCGUGAUAAUUUAAUUGGUUCGUGAAUCGUUUAACUACUUAGAUACCUAAUGUAAUUUGUCUUCUGUUCAGUUGACAAGCGCAACAUGUGACAAUCAAAUUUUGCAAAAAUUGGCCCAUGCAUGUUUGAAUAAUUUUUCGAGACAGUUUUCAAGCUUCCGCAAUGCAGAUUACUUUACGCGAACAACUGGUGAAAAUAAUCAAACAAUUUUUCGGCCGAGAAAAUAUCUUCGGUUACGAGACGACUUUAGCCAAUCAACUCUUCCUGCUUUAUUGUUUCUGCGGUAAAAUUUAUUUCACUCGUAAGAUCACUAAUUCGUUCAGAUUUAUAUGGACACUGUUCAAUUUGAGCGGUUUACUCGUUGGUUACGUGAUCGCGGGGGCAUUUUUACUCCACGAUAAAGAACCCGAUAUUUCGAUGCAGUUGCUUAUGAUAAAUGUGAUGGCAAAUUCAACCCUGAUGGGAUUCUUCAUACCUUUAAUCACGUUUCUGUAUCGCGACAAUAUCGAACAAUGUAUUCGCGAUAUUGACCGAAUUUUCCGAAACAGAUCCUCGCAUCAGGAGGAUAAACUCGACUUAUGGAAAUACGUUCUCAGGAAUAUUGUGAUCGAACUCAUCAGCGGUGCUGUAUUCGCCAACGUUUGCUUAUGCGAUGUUCUCGUUUUCAACGAAGAGGAAAAAAUUAAAGAUUACACGUAUUAUUUGUACCCUUUUCCCAAUACGGAGCUAACUGGCACCUUGACAAUUUUCCUAAUCAAUACCGCUCUGUCUCACGUUAUUUUAUCAUCGCAAGCUUUCGCAGCAUUGUCAUCUAUGGCCAUUAUAUUAAUCUGGAGGGUCAUUUGCAAUGCACAGUUGAAGAAAGCGAGAAAAAAAUUGGAUUACAGGUCAGCCAUUUUGAGCUCGUUUAUUGAGGAAAAUUAUCACAUGUACGGUUUGUCCAGAUAUGCAGAAAAAACAUUCGAGAAAAUUACAAUAGAAGGAAUACGGGAUGUCCAGCAAAUCACUCGGUCAUUCUCAUUGCCUAAGACGCAAAUACUUCUUGUACAUAUCAAUGUCUAGGUGUAUCCUGAAUUUAUAACUAAAAUGUGAUCAUUUGUUCGCAGAUUGAUUGAAAGUCUACGAAAAUUUUAUCAGUUGUUCUGUUCGUCAGCUGUUCCGGUAACUAUCAUAGGCGUUAUAGUUCAAUUACAUACAAUUGUGUCAACCAAUUUACCGUGGGCAGUCAAGAUUAAAGGAAUUGGCAUGAUGGCUGCUGUAGCUUACCCCUUACUACUCGUCUGUUGGAUUGGAGAGACGCUCGAAAAUUCGAUGUCGUUGGUCUCGUUUUCAGUCUACUCGAUGCCAUGGUAUUGGAGCAAAAAUUUUCGUCAGAACACCCACCUGUUUCUUUGCCAAACGCAACACGAUCUGAAUUUCACUUCCAUAAAGGUUUAUCCGAUGUUGCUGAGAACAUUUUCACGUUUUUGUCAUUUCGUUUCAUCGACUGUGAAUUUUCUACAUCAAUUGAGUCGGUAGUCGUUCCAGAUAUCCUGAAAACAAACACAGAAAUGCAAAAAUGUUAUCGUUAUGUAAUAGGUAAUAUGUAUAUGUACAUGUUUGUAUCAAAUGUACCUAUCUAUUAUAUACAGAUCUGUGCUCA